AAGCGGUGGAUGAUGUGGUUUAAUUCGAUGCAACGCGAAGAACCUUACCACCUUGACAUGGCAGGAAUCCCGAAGAGAUUUGGGAGUGCUCGAAAGAGAACCUGCACACAGGUGCUGCAUGGCUGUCGUCAGCUCGUGUCGUGAGAUGUUGGGUUAAGUCCCGCAACGAGCGCAACCCUUGCCAUUAGUUGCUACGAAAGGGCACUCUAAUGGGACUGCCGGUGACAAACCGGAGGAAGGUGGGGAUGACGUCAAGUCCUCAUGGCCCUUAUAGGUGGGGCUACACACGUCAUACAAUGGCCGGUACAGAGGGUAGCCAACCCGCGAGGGGGAGCCAAUCCCACAAAGCCGGUCGUAGUCCGGAUCGCAGUCUGCAACUCGACUGCGUGAAGUCGGAAUCGCUAGUAAUCGCGGAUCAGCAUGUCGCGGUGAAUACGUUCCCGGGUCUU
This 449-nucleotide ribosomal RNA is filed under the name uncultured Allobrachymonas sp. Its description in RNAcentral is "bacterial SSU rRNA". It matches the Rfam family "Bacterial small subunit ribosomal RNA", at positions 927 to 1382 of the family's 1533-position model. Lineage: Bacteria; Pseudomonadati; Pseudomonadota; Betaproteobacteria; Burkholderiales; Comamonadaceae. The record is from RNAcentral.